CGCAGGAUGUCGUGCUGCCAGAGGCCCUUCCAGCUGCUGGAAGCAGUGGGCCUUGCCAUUUACUCCUGUUUACAGAAAUGGGAAUUUGCAUGAUGAAAAUAACCUGGGACAGAUUUUGAUUUUACUGCUGUUGGCACGGAGCUUGGAAAAAAAUGGUGCAUAGUCAAUUACUGGAAUUUUAAAACACAAAUAAUAUUUUAUGCGAUCAGCACUUUGGCUCAAGGCCUGGGCAUCGUGCUCCAACAGCACUUAUGAAAGGAACAAGCCAUUGAUUGUGCUGCCUGCUUCACACAGGAGCCUGUGGGCAGGUGCAGCUUUUGUUGACCUUAGAAAACAGUUCCCUUGGCUGGUGGCUUAACCCAUCAGGUCUGGGCUGGAAACAAGCCUCAGACAUGUGAACCCUGCCAGUUGGGACACUUCCCUUCCCUCACUCCCCCUCCUCCACAUUUCCCACAAUACACAGCUACAUCUUGUCCUCCUCUCUUUAUGGGCCAAGAUAUUCACAGCUCACCUUCUCCAACAGUAAUUGUUAAACAACCUUGGCAACGAACGGGUUAGCAUAUUGAAGCAAUGACCUAUUAACAAGUCUCCACUGUCCACUAUCAUGUGACCACAUUCCCAGAAAUGCUGAAUCUGGAAAGCAGGUUUCCUGGAAGGCCCUUCUAGAGGUAAAGGACCAUAAACUCAGCAACAGCCGGCCUGCCUAAAGGUGUGGUGCCGGGUACACAAGCGUUUUAAUCCUUGCUCCUAGGCAUUGAGCAGAGCUCCCACGGCGGUGGGUGUGGUACAGAAGCCAAGAAAGCAAGUCUGGUGACUUCACUCCUUUCCCUAAAGGACCACACCAGGAAAAAUACCACCAAGCAUCCAUCCUCCUCAGCCUUUUUUUUAUUGAGGGGGGAAAGAAAAUACCCAAUGGGCAACCAAGAGGCUGUGUUCCACUCCUAUUCUUUAGGGAUCACUUGGGGAGGCCUGUUGACAUGACUAUUAUUCAGAAUAGACACAGAACCUCAUAAUGGAAGACAGAUAAGAAGUCAGAGACUAUGUGGUCCUUGGCAACCCUUGCUUGGAUAAGAAGUUCCAGAAUCCCUCAGCCAUUAUGUCAAAUAAAAUUCUGGAAUAUGUAGUUUGAAAAAGUGACAUUCUCAAGCUCUCAUUUAUAAGCAUUAUUCAGUAUGGGAAAGGGAAGGAAAGGGGAGUGUGUUUCUCAUCGUAAUAACUUAAGGACUUCAGAAAGAUUCAUAGAAUCAAAGUUGGAAGAGGACACAAGGGCCAUCAGCCCCCGCGCCCCCUGCAAUGCAAGAACACACAAUCAAGAAUGCAUCUAUAAUGUAGAAGGAAUGCGUGCCUUUCAGUCAGGAUCCAGCUGUGUCAUGGCACUGGGUAAGCUAAAUUCCUGCUGGCUGCUACUUAAUGGACUGAAGGGUGGAACAUCAGUUAGAGACCAGAUUGCGCUACUGGCAUUGAAAACAAGGGUCUAAAUGGAGGUGGGCAUGCAUCAUAGGAGACUGUUUCAAGGAACACUGAGAAGAUGGCAGGACAGCACAAGAUGAGAGGAAUCUGAAUAUUUCGUCUUUACUGGUGACACCAGGAAAAAUACAUCAGCAUGCCGCAACAGAUGCUUCCACUUUAUCCCCUUCUGCCAUUGCACACCAAACCCUUUUUCCUCUGUAAAAUAUAUGCUGAAACUGGGACUCAAUCAGAA
Molecule: long non-coding RNA, 1702 nt
Organism: Anolis carolinensis (green anole)
Lineage: Eukaryota; Metazoa; Chordata; Lepidosauria; Squamata; Anolidae
Exons: 2
Source: RefSeq, a predicted model, not a curated record